AGCGGUGGCAAUGGCGAAGAGGUCCCACCUGUUCUCAUACCGAACACAGAAGUUAAGCUCUUCAGCGCGGAAAGUACUUGGCUGGCGACGGCCCGGGAGGCUAAGACGCUGCCGCUU
This 117-nucleotide ribosomal RNA is filed under the name Clostridiales bacterium. The record is from RNAcentral. Lineage: Bacteria; Bacillati; Bacillota; Clostridia; Eubacteriales.